AUCGCAGUAGUAAAAAGGUUCAUAAGUAUCGUACUUUAGUAACUUGUAUCGAUAGUAUAUUUGCCAUUGGAACAGUGUAUCACUAGUAAAAGGUGUCUCAAAUAAUAAUGUUCAGUAGAAAUUGAAAUAAUUCUUAAAAACUGAACAAAUAUCUUUGAAACAAAUGGCCAUUAGUAAAUUAUUUCAUAAGGUGGUGCAUCUCAGAAUGACGGAAUCGCACUAGUAAAGCAGCUGCGGCCUGCGGCGCAGGUUCAGAAUUUAGAUUCAGACGACUAAAAGGCGUCGACGGCACGAAGGCACAAAUCGAGGCGUCGUAGUGUAAUUACGACGCAUUUUUUGUGUCAAAAGUUUUCAUUGGCAGCCUUGACGACUUUAUGCGUUUUCCUUGCCAUAAGUCCUGGUGUGUGUGAAUCAGCAUCUUGGCAUCUUUGGUCGCCUGUGGAGAUUUGAGAGAGAUGGAACUUUUCCUUUUCCUUAUGCUAGUGGCUGAUAACCAAGAAAUUUUUGACAUGGUUCUCCACCUCACUGCUUAUCAUUAUCCUGAAAAUAUCGUCUUGCCACAAGGAUAUACUCCUCCAAAUCUGGCAGUUAGCACCCUUUACUGGAAGGCUUGGUUGAUGCUAUUGAUGCUGAUUGCUCAUAAUCCUGGCAGUCUUGGGUCUGAGGCAUGGAAUUCAUUCCCUCCUAUACUCCGAGCAUUGAUGGAGAUGUGUAUCACAAAUGAUUUGCUACUUCUUCUGGUACCACAGACCAAACAGAGUUGCAGGUGGCUGCAAUUGAAAAGCAAACCAUCUUGGAAUUCGAAACAGAUCUAGGAGCCGCCUCUACAAAAACUGUUAUUACCGAGAACAAUCCUUUGCUGCUUAGUCAAUUGACAUCACUUGAUCCACGAGGAUCUACGCGACGACCUCCUCCGGCUGUUAUUGAGCAGCUUCGAACUUUGAACGCAACACUUCGACUGGGUCACCUACUUUGUAGAAGUCGCCAACCGAACUUUUUAUUGUAAAUUCUGCAUAGGCAAGGAGCUGCGCAAACGAAGCCAUGGCUGGCUGAUUUGGUCGAGUCCAAUGAAGGUGCUUGGAACGUUCUGCCUGUUCAAUGUCUUUGUGAGUUUUUGCUUCACGAAGCAGCUGAUGGUCUGCCUGUUAAUGAUCUAAUGAACGAUUGUAAGCAACAGCUUGGCAAACGCAAGGAACGUCGUCACAAACACCAACAGUUGGUCCAGCAUCUAAGAUUUUUGUUGACUGAUCCCAAUCAACUACCCGAAGCAUGCCGUGAAGUCCUAGACUAUUUGAUGAGACGAUUGAGUGCUCAGAAAGCUCUCGCCCGUCACCAAGCCCUCACGGCAUUGAGUGUGGUCUUGGCAGUAAAAGACGAUGAUAUUACCAUGAGUGAUGGUGCAUGCUCCGAAGGAACAGGAGACGAUUCCCAGUUCUCUUGGCUUGUUCAUCAGUUACCUACCAUCCCACAUUUCGAAGCCGUACGCCCUGCCGUGAUUGCUGCUCUACGGGCCGCCUUUCUAAUUGAAACACAACCACUAGCCAUGUGUAUGCGUCAUCGUAAACAUCCGAUUCCGAUAUUUCCUUAUUUUUCAUAAUUUGUCCGUGCUUUCCCCUUUUUUCCCCAUUUUUAUCCAAAAUUUUCCAAUAUUUCCUAAUUUUCUUGGAGCAGGACGCAAGUCCUGACUAGUGACGUUUUUUUUAAUACAUAGCCAUCUAGCGCUCA
Molecule: long non-coding RNA, 1725 nt
Filed under: Daphnia pulicaria
Lineage: Eukaryota; Metazoa; Arthropoda; Branchiopoda; Diplostraca; Daphniidae
Description: uncharacterized LOC124350206, transcript variant X3
Source: RNAcentral